UACGUAGGUGACAAGCGUUAUCCGGAAUUACUGGGCGUAAAGCGCACGCAGGCGGCUCUUUAAGUCAGGGGUGAAAUCCUGGAGCUCAACUCCAGAACUGCCCUUGAUACUGAGGAGCUUGAGUCCGGGAGAGGUGAGUGGAACUGCGAGUGUAGAGGUGAAAUUCGUAGAUAUUCGCAAGAACACCAGUGGCGAAGGCGGCUCACUGGCCCGGUACUGACGCUGAGGUGCGAAAGCGUGGGGAGCAAACAGG
Molecule: ribosomal RNA, 253 nt
Filed under: uncultured bacterium
Lineage: Bacteria
Description: partial 16S ribosomal RNA
Rfam family: Bacterial small subunit ribosomal RNA
Source: RNAcentral